CGCGGGGUGGAACAGCUUGGUAGCUCGUCGGGCUCAUAACCCGAAGGUCGUCGGUUCAAAUCCGGCCCCCGCAACCA
RNAcentral lists this transfer RNA (77 nucleotides) under Vibrio cholerae O1 biovar El Tor. RNAcentral describes it as "tRNA-Met". It matches the Rfam family "tRNA". Rfam says of the family: Transfer RNA (tRNA) molecules are approximately 80 nucleotides in length. Their secondary structure includes four short double-helical elements and three loops (D, anti-codon, and T loops). Lineage: Bacteria; Pseudomonadati; Pseudomonadota; Gammaproteobacteria; Vibrionales; Vibrionaceae. The record is from RNAcentral.